AAGAAGAUAGCAUAAAUAGAGAAGAGACGAUGAUAACCAAACAGGCUUCAUUUGGGGCAGGCCAUAGAGAAUAGGCACUUUGGAAUAAGAGUCAGGGGAAAGGUCAUGUUCAUCAUCAAUGGCUGCCAGUGGAUGACCCAAAACACUAGGUAGGACCAACUAUACCUCAGUCAGGAAGCCAAAACUGUACCAUAGUGAAGGAAGUGAGAUUGGACACGAGGGUAUAGAGACCCUGGGUUAAGAAAUCUCAGUUGGAAAAAAAAAGUCUCAGUUGGGUUAAGAAGUCACAAUUGACAUCAACCAUACGUCAUAGAAGACCAGGCCCUCCAUCCCAAAUGCAGCCAUGACAUAUAAAUGUUUCUUGUAUGGCCUGAUGCCAUUUUGGAAAGCAAGACAGCAUAGAAGAGAAGAGAGAGAAAACCCCUGAGGAAAUAAACAAAUAUCCAGAAGAGACCUUUACAAACCUUGAGGCUGAGAUACCAUCAUUUGCAAGAAAAAAAUCUUGUACCUCUGAUCUACAUUGAUGGGGGAGAAAAAGGGAGAAAGAUAAAGUGAUGGAUAUGAAUGCAUGGAGAAAUCUCCAGGAAGUUCAUAUUUAAAGGACUCUUGAAAAAAUGAAAAAAGAAAUACGACGCAAAGGCAGAAGGAGGAGGAGGAGGACAAGAAGAAGAGGAGGAGGAGGAGGAGGGGAAGGAAGAGGUAGAGGUGAAAGGAGGAGGGGGAGGAGGGGAAUUUGUGGAGGAGGAAGAAGGGGAAAUAACUGGGAGGAGUACCAAGGAAUAUAUGGAAAUGUCAGUGAAGCUAAAAGUUCACAAGAUACUGAGGCUUGUGAAAAUUAUGAAUAGCAAAAAAAAAAAAAAAAGACUUGUAAGUUAAGGAAACAAGAAUGGGGUACACAGCUACACCUUGGGGUGAGUGGCACAAUGCUACUGAAUAGAAAAAAAUUAAAUUCAGCUACAGAA
Molecule: long non-coding RNA, 962 nt
Organism: Panthera uncia (snow leopard)
Lineage: Eukaryota; Metazoa; Chordata; Mammalia; Carnivora; Felidae
Exons: 2
Source: RefSeq, a predicted model, not a curated record